UGGAAAAAAUAAAAGAAAUAAAAAAUGUAUUGGUAAUAGUGAACAUUAUCUUGUUUUGACUUACAGGCAAUAUCAUACCAGAAAAAUGGCUGCAUUUGGAAAAUGAAUAGCUAGAGAAAAUUCUAAUGAAUAAGCCCAAGGCCUCCAGAAAUGACGAUGAAAAUAACCAGCAUAAGGUUCAGAGGAUACCUAUGCAGGUUUCUUACAUGGAUAUACUGUGUAAUAGUGAGUUUGGGUUAGUGUUAUAAGGUAAUUUCUUAUCUUUUUUUCUUCAACAAAGAAAAUACACAAAGAAAAUGCCACAGAUUGACUGGAAUAAGGAUGAGGUUUUUGUUAUUCUUUUUCUUUUUCUUUUUUUAGAACUGGUGUUGCUGAGGAGAUGAUCACUGAACUUGGAUGUCGAUCAAAGCCAACAGAUACGGGGUCAGGGGCUAUGAUGGAAGCUACACAAAGUAGAAUAUCUAAAAUGGAACUAAAACUUGGGAUUAAAAUAUGAACAAAAUACAGACUUACGAAAAUAACAUAUAUGUAUAUCAGAGGAAGAUAUGUUUUAUCAAAAUAUCAUAUGUGUACAUUUUUCAGAUAAAAUAAAUAUUGUUCCAUAGAUCACUUUUCUUAGCCUUUUUAGCUUAAAGAUGUCAUAAGGAGAGACUAGUCAAUAAAUUAGAAGUCCUAACAUCUGACCUUGCUCAUGCCAGUGUAUGGCCUACAAGACUAAACUCCUAGGGACUAGGGGAGAUACUGGUCACAUGAUUCAAAAUUUCAAUUAGGCAGGAGGAAUAAGUUCAAGAGAUCAAUCAGGUAUCCUGGUGGCUAUUGUUAACAAUAAUAUGUUACAUACUUAAGAACUGCUAUGAGAGUAUAUUUUAAGUGUUCUUACCAAAAAAUAAUAAGUAUGUGAGGUGAAGAUAAGUUAAUUAGUUUAAGCCAUUCCACAAUGUAUACACAAAUCAAAACAUCAUUAUAUACCAUAAAUAUACACAAUUUUCAUCAAUUUAAAAAAUUAAUUACUAUUUGAAAAGCCUAGAGAAUUCCCAGAAGUUAACAGAUAUUUUAUGAAGGCACAAGAGCAACCUUUGUCCUUAAGGAGUUCACGUUUUUGUUCACUGUAUCACAAAACCAACACCAUCAAAGGCAAGAUGUAACAGCCACAGCAGUAUAUAAACAAAGUUUCCUUAAAGCAUCAGAAUACAGUGAUUUAUUGCAGAAGAAUAGACUAAGUCAUUAAAAAAAAAGAUAUCUACUGCGGUAAUAUCUAAAGCCCAUGGUAAAUGAUGUCUUUGAGAAUUGCACAUCUGGUGUUCUGGCAAAAAAUUAGGAGACCUGAAAAUAAUAUCUCUAAAUUGUUUAUCUUUUAGCUUAAUUAACCAACUGGCUUAAAAGUCCAAUUCAAUCCAUAACGGAGGGACUGGACUGGAUAACAUCUAAAGUCCCUUCUGAUGCUUUAAUUCAAAAGUAUUUCUAUUUUAAAAGUUCUAUUUUGACAUUUAAAGAUGGGUUUAAAAUUUCAUGUAUGAAAGAAACAAAAUGCAAAUGAUAAAAUUAAUUUUUGUUAUGGAUACUAUUUUAUGUAUUGGAUAUAUGUAUAGAAGAAAAUUAUUAAAAUAUAACUAGUUUGUUUCUGGUGCAUCUGAGAAGAGAAAAUAAACAGCACACAUGCAAAAGUUUAUAAGACAACACUGUCUUGAGUCAGUGACAAAAGGAGUGAGACACAUUCAUGUUCACUGAAAUUUUUUAAAUUGUGAACCAUGAGUCACUAGCUGUGAAGUUUAAUCAAAAGCAGUUUACACAGUUAAUUAGACACCAAUUUAAAGUGCUGCAUAGUAUUCACUGUACUGCACAGCAAAAGGCAUAAAUAACCACAUAAAUGACUGUUAAGUAACCACA
Rhinopithecus bieti (black snub-nosed monkey) is the source of this 1887-nucleotide long non-coding RNA. The record is from Ensembl. Lineage: Eukaryota; Metazoa; Chordata; Mammalia; Primates; Cercopithecidae.